Molecule: long non-coding RNA, 265 nt
Filed under: Elaeis guineensis (African oil palm)
Lineage: Eukaryota; Viridiplantae; Streptophyta; Magnoliopsida; Arecales; Arecaceae
Description: long non-coding RNA (EGUI_LNC014991)
Source: RNAcentral
UCAAGCAUGGUAUUAUAAGGUAUCGUUGGUAAUGUGAUACAUAGAAGGUCAUAUGUGAUUUGAUAACAUAUUUACUGCAAUAAUUCAUACUGAUGAUUGCUUCAUAAAAAGAUAUAUUGUGUAUCCUAUAACCCACAGAGAAGAUAAAUUUCUAAAUAUGGAUCCACAAUAAUUUCUCCAAUUUGCAAAUCUAGAAAAAUUUUAUCUAACAUUUUUGAAAUAUUUUAAAUAGUUAAACUAAACAUUAAUGUGUUAGGUUGGGUCA